CAGCAGCCGCGGUAAUACAGAGGGUGCGAGCGUUAAUCGGAUUUACUGGGCGUAAAGCGUGAGUAGGCGGCUUCUUAAGUCGGAUGUGAAAUCCCUGAGCUUAACUUAGGAAUUGCAUUCGAUACUGGGAAGCUAGAGUAUGGGAGAGGAUGGUAGAAUUCCAGGUGUAGCGGUGAAAUGCGUAGAGAUCUGGAGGAAUACCGAUGGCGAAGGCAGCCAUCUGGCCUAAUACUGACGCUGAGGUACGAAAGCAUGGGGAGCAAACAGGAUUAGAUACCCCAGUAGUCCCUGUCUCUUAUAC
This 301-nucleotide ribosomal RNA is filed under the name uncultured bacterium. RNAcentral describes it as "partial 16S ribosomal RNA". It matches the Rfam family "Bacterial small subunit ribosomal RNA", at positions 509 to 807 of the family's 1533-position model. The record is from RNAcentral.